AGACCCGAAACCCGGUGAUCUAGCCAUGGGCAGGUUGAAGGUUGGGUAACACUAACUGGAGGACCGAACCGACUAAUGUUGAAAAAUUAGCGGAUGACCUGUGGCUGGGGGUGAAAGGCCAAUCAAACCGGGAGAUAGCUGGUUCUCCCCGAAAGCUAUUUAGGUAGCGCCUCGUGAAUUCAUCUCCGGGGGUAGAGCACUGUUUCGGCUAGGGGGCCAUCCCGGCUUACCAACCCGAUGCAAACUGCGAAUACCGGAGAAUGUUAUCACGGGAGACACACGGCGGGUGCUAACGUCCGUCGUGAAGAGGGAAACAACCCAGACCGCCAGCUAAGGUCCCAAAGUCAUGGUUAAGUGGGAAACGAUGUGGGAAGGCCCAGACAGCCAGGAUGUUGGCUUAGAAGCAGCCAUCAUUUAAAGAAAGCGUAAUAGCUCACUGGUCGAGUCGGCCUGCGCGGAAGAUGUAACGGGGCUAAACCAUGCACCGAAGCUGCGGCAGCGACACUCAGGUGUUGUUGGGUAGGGGAGCGUUCUGUAAGCCUGUGAAGGUGGCCUGUGAGGGUUGCUGGAGGUAUCAGAAGUGCGAAUGCUGACAUAAGUAACGAUAAAGCGGGUGAAAAGCCCGCUCGCCGGAAGACCAAGGGUUCCUGUCCAACGUUAAUCGGGGCAGGGUGAGUCGACCCCUAAGGCGAGGCCGAAAGGCGUAGUCGAUGGGAAACGGGUUAAUAUUCCCGUACUUGGUGUUACUGCGAAGGGGGGACGGAGAAGGCUAUGUUGGCCGGGCGACGGUUGUCCCGGUUUAAGCGUGUAGGUGUGUGUUCCAGGUAAAUCCGGUUCACUUUAACACUGAGGCGUGACGACGAGGCACUACGGUGCUGAAGCAACAAAUGCCCUGCUUCCAGGAAAAGCCUCUAAGCAUCAGGUAACAUCAAAUCGUACCCCAAACCGACACAGGUGGUCAGGUAGAGAAUACCAAGGCGCUUGAGAGAACUCGGGUGAAGGAACUAGGCAAAAUGGUGCCGUAACUUCGGGAGAAGGCAC
RNAcentral lists this ribosomal RNA (1041 nucleotides) under Salmonella enterica. RNAcentral describes it as "partial 23S ribosomal RNA". It matches the Rfam family "Bacterial large subunit ribosomal RNA", at positions 711 to 1749 of the family's 2925-position model. The record is from RNAcentral. Lineage: Bacteria; Pseudomonadati; Pseudomonadota; Gammaproteobacteria; Enterobacterales; Enterobacteriaceae.